GAUGAACGCUGGCGGCGUGCCUAAUACAUGCAAGUCGAGCGAACAGACGAGGAGCUUGCUCCUCUGACGUUAGCGGCGGACGGGUGAGUAACACGUGGAGAACCUACCUAUAAGACUGGGAUAACUUCGGGAAACCGGAGCUAAUAUCGGAUAAUAUAUUGAACCGCAUGGUUCAAUAGUGAAAGACGGUUUUGCUGUCAUUUAUAGAUGGAUCCGCGCCGCAUUAGCUAGUUGGUAAGGUAACGGCUUACCAAGGCGACGAUGCGUAGCCGGACUGAGAGGGUGAUCGGCCACGCUGGAACUGAGGCACGGUCCAGGCUCCUACGGGAGGCAGCAGUAGGGAACCUUCCGCAAUGGGCGGAAGCCUGACGGAGCAACGCCGCGUGAGUGAUGAAGGUCUUCGCAUCGUAAAACUCUGUUAUUAGGGAAGAACAAAUGUGUAAGUAACUAUGCACGUCUUGACGGUACCUAAUCAGAAAGCCACGGCUAACUACGUG
Molecule: ribosomal RNA, 497 nt
Filed under: uncultured bacterium
Lineage: Bacteria
Description: partial 16S ribosomal RNA
Rfam family: Bacterial small subunit ribosomal RNA
Source: RNAcentral